CCGAACUGUCAACACGAGUUGUUGCUGGUCCUCAAAUCGGGGGCAUGUGCACGCUCUGUUUACACAUCCACUCACACCUGUGCACCCUCUGUAGUUCUAUGGCAUGGGGGAUCUUGUCUUCCUGCUGUGGUUCUGCAUCUUUACAACACACAAUGUGAUAGAGUCUCAUGGAAUGUACAUCGCGUUUAACGCAAUACAAUA
This 201-nucleotide unclassified non-coding RNA is filed under the name uncultured fungus. RNAcentral's name for it is "sequence contains ITS1, 5.8S rRNA gene". Lineage: Eukaryota; Fungi. The record is from RNAcentral.